UUGUGGCCCCAACUCAGG
Molecule: ribosomal RNA, 18 nt
Filed under: Burbidgea pubescens
Lineage: Eukaryota; Viridiplantae; Streptophyta; Magnoliopsida; Zingiberales; Zingiberaceae
Description: partial 26S ribosomal RNA
Source: RNAcentral